RNAcentral lists this small RNA (74 nucleotides) under Xanthomonas citri. RNAcentral's name for it is "sX9 sRNA". It matches the Rfam family "Xanthomonas sRNA sX9". The record is from RNAcentral. RNAcentral also lists the same sequence under 2 other names. Lineage: Bacteria; Pseudomonadati; Pseudomonadota; Gammaproteobacteria; Lysobacterales; Lysobacteraceae.
AUCUACCACUUACACACGCCGGUUCCUGUGCGCCGUCCCGCCCGCCUGGCGCCUGCUCGCGACGUCUGUUAGCA